UUUAUUUUAUUUUUGUUUUUUAAAUCAAGUUUCCCACACCCACAUGGCAACCCAACCCAGUCCAGUGGUGAAGGAUGGAUGUGUGUGGUCAGGGCGGGGAUGAUGGUUGGGGUGAUGGAGCUUCUGAUCCAUCUUAGGAAACUGGAUUUUGCAAAAGUACCAAGUUUCUAAAUCAAGGUUAGAACUCUAAGGUUCCAUCAACUCCCAACAGCAACUCUCCCUGACUCCCUCUCCCACUCAUUCUCUGCUACCUCAGGGUGAAACUGUGAUUCUCAAGAAGUUCAGGAGUCACUGGGAGAGGAUGAGGAUCUACUAUCUAAUUUCCAUUGCUAAAAUGUUCAUUCAUUUGGCCCUUUACUCCUUCAAAAAGACUAUGUGGUAGAGUGCCAGCAAAGAUCAUUGCUUCAAGCUCAGUUCCUGUACUUUCUAGCUUAGUGACUCGCUUGACUUCACUGAAAUUCGGUUUACCCGUAUAUGAUGGAUGGAUAGUAAUAUGUUUCCCAUCUCACAAGGACCUGCUUCUGCCAUCUGCAUGCCCUUUGGAACAAAUUGUUCUCAUCUGCCUAUUCUGCCAAGAAACAUCUUCACAAACUUGGAGUAGACAGCCAUCUUAUUUAUGAGAUGAACACCUCUGGUGUGAAGGCUUGCUGAGUCCUUUUCAAAGCUGCUCUUUUGGUGCCCACCUUUUACCCAACUCUCAUCUGUGACUACAAGAAACUGAAGUAUGUGCAGUGGCCACACUCCAAUAAAACUGUCUCAGUACCCCA
This 767-nucleotide long non-coding RNA is filed under the name Monodelphis domestica (gray short-tailed opossum). RNAcentral describes it as "lncRNA (ENSMODG00000033396.2)". The record is from RNAcentral. Lineage: Eukaryota; Metazoa; Chordata; Mammalia; Didelphimorphia; Didelphidae.